Molecule: ribosomal RNA, 425 nt
Filed under: Blastocystis hominis
Lineage: Eukaryota; Bigyra; Opalinata; Blastocystidae
Also listed under: 1 other name
Description: partial small subunit ribosomal RNA
Rfam family: Bacterial small subunit ribosomal RNA
Source: RNAcentral
CAUGGGGAGCAAACAGGAUUUGGUACCCUGGUAGUCCAUGCUAUAAACAAUGAAUAUUAAAUAUUAGAUCUUUAAAUCUAAUAUAAAUAGUUAACACGUUAAAUAUUUCGCCUGGGGAGUAAAACCGCAAGGUUGAAACUCAAAGGAAUUGACGGGAGCUUAUACUUACGGUGGAGCAUGUGGUUUAAUCCGAUAGUCCGCGUGGAAUCUUACCAAUUUUUGACAUUUAUUAAUUUUAAUAAAAUAAAACAGGUGUUGCAUGGCCGUUGUCAGCUUAUGUUUUGAAAUUUAAAUAUAGGUUUAACCCUUAGUUUAAUUUACUAAUAUUUGGAAAUGUUUAAAUUACCAAAUAAGUACUAUUAAAAAAAUAUAUUUUUUAUUAUAUUUAAAAGGAUGAAAAUAGGUCGUUAUGACCCUUAUAAAUU